GCCCGGAUGGUGGAACAGGUAGACACAAGGGACUUAAAAUCCCUCGCUAGCAAUGGCGUGCCGGUUCGAUUCCGGCUCCGGGCACCA
This 87-nucleotide transfer RNA is filed under the name Betaproteobacteria bacterium. RNAcentral's name for it is "tRNA-Leu". It matches the Rfam family "tRNA". Rfam says of the family: Transfer RNA (tRNA) molecules are approximately 80 nucleotides in length. Their secondary structure includes four short double-helical elements and three loops (D, anti-codon, and T loops). The record is from RNAcentral. RNAcentral also lists the same sequence under 1 other name. Lineage: Bacteria; Pseudomonadati; Pseudomonadota; Betaproteobacteria.